This is a long non-coding RNA of Rhipicephalus microplus (southern cattle tick), 2493 nucleotides long. The record is from RefSeq and is a predicted model, not a curated record. NCBI's taxonomy places the organism in Eukaryota, Metazoa, Arthropoda, Arachnida, Ixodida, Ixodidae.
UAGUCAAAGUUCUCUUUUUUUAUCUGUACCACCAGUAGUCUGCAGUGCCAUUGUAGCUUGCUUGUCACCGCUCUAUUUUGAAAUUUCAGAUAAGCCAAGAUAACUGCUAUUCAUUAAGGAUCACAGUCUAGAUCCCAAGAGAAGGAGUACACAGAGGAGAUCCAGCGUCUUCAAAGGGACCCGCAGCAACCAGAUACAGGAAUAGAAUUUCGUGGACCAGUAGCACUAUAGAGUGGCCUGAAUCCACAACUCACCGAAUCGCUUCAAUCUUCUUCUGGAUCAUCGACAGAGUCUCUGUCAUCCAAUCGUGCGGUGCCCUAAACUUUAUCAAUUUAAAAGAAUAAAAUGCUUAAUAAGUAAAAAUGUCACUGAAACAUGCAGAUGAUAAUUGUGAAUAGAUGUGCUAUGGAGCUGUUAAUAUUUGAAUAUGUCUGAAGGAGUCGUUGUCUCCUUCCUCGGGGACGCAAGCCUCUUUCUGCCUUCUUCACCUGCUGUUGUGUUAGUUGCAAUACACUCAAACCAUGAUAUUGUCACGGUUAUUAGCCGUAAACACAAAAGGACGAAGAAGCCAGCAUCACAAGCGGCAGUCUCCGGCAUUUUUCGAGGAAGACAACGUUGCGCGUCUGCUCUUGCGCUUUGUUUUUGUAUGUGAAUAGAGCCUUGCUGUUAACGUCGAAAGGAAGCCUUGUGUCCUGUUCUUUGCAUGUUGCGACACUGGUGGAGGUGCGGGGCUUCUAUGGCUGAUGCUCGGGACUCCUCCGCGAUCCGGCACUUCAAGUCCGACACCGGAACCCGUUCCUUCAGUGGAUACCACGUCCACCGCUACAGUCGCCGACAGCGAGGCCUUAGUUCUGAUGUGAUUCCCCUGGAGCUUUCCCAGCAAAGCACUCCGCCUAGAGAAAUGGCAACUGCAGGUGCUUCCCAGCUGACUUUAGAGCAACCUCAGAUUCCGGAGACAUUCCAUGAUGAGGCGUAUGAAGACGUCGAGGACUGGUUAGCCCAGUAUGAGCGAGUUGCUAAGGCAAACCACUUGACCUCCGAGCGAAAGCUUUCACGCGCCUACUUUGCUUUAGCAGACAGCGCUCGUACGUGGUAUGAGAACCACGGGGCAACACUGUCUUCAUGGGAUGAAUUUCGGCAGCAAAUUAUCAGCACCUUCGCAAACAACGACCGCCUUGACUUUGCUCAGCAACUCAUCGGGUGGCUCUAAAUUAAACUGAAAGAAAAAAAGAUAUGAUUAUCAGUUCAUGUUGGCCACCCUCUCUGAAACCUUUCAUUCACGCAUUGGCUGUUCUUGUGACUAGGUCCCAAUGCAUCACUUGUAAGUGCACUCAGACCCACUUAAAUUUCGCUAGUGGCAGUGCUGCUAAGGCAGCUUUCAGUGUGCCAAGUGGGGUUGCUGGUAGGUAAAUUAUUAAUGGUAGACAGGUAUGCAGUUCUUUUGAACACCAAAGGCUUGGCAGACGCUUGAGUUUUUAAGUCAAGAGUAGACACUGAAAGUGUAAUUAAUCGCACGUUGCUUUCACAGUGGGCUUCUACGAUGAGAUGUUUUUGUUAAUAAUCACAUCUUGAGGAACUAACAGCAUGAGGACCUUUACUUUAUUAUUUUUCGACAGUCCAGGAAGACUAUCAAGUUAACACAUAAAUGAACAUAACCUGUUUUGCUGCAGUCAACUUUAGAUGAUGCAGUUGACGUGAUCCAUAUUUUUUGGAACUACAUACUAGCUCUCACCCCCAGGGUGAGGUCGAAUGAAACCUUUUUGGUGACUUGAAAAAAUGCUUUCCAUCGUUACUCUGGUUGUAUCAGUUGCCUUUCUUGUACCAGAGUAUCGGUAUUAAGAGGCUCACGAAACUGUGCUGACUAAUGCCGUUUCUGCGGAGCAAAGUGGUGAUGAGAUGGCUCGUGAGGAUGUUGCUGAGUUGGAGCGUUGGGAGCAGGAGCAGAUGAAGAAGGGUGUCAGCACUGCACCGGUUGCAGCCGUCCCAACACCAGAGGAACAGUGUGUGGUGCUAACAUAAUUCACAGAGCAGCCGACUGCUGUGUCGGUCCAGGACCGGCAAAACCUCAGCUCACAGGCUGUGCUCGAGCGGAUAACAGAUCGGCUUGCCACAGUUCGUGAAAUGCUAGCCGUGCAUCGACGGCAGAAAAAGCAGGCGCUCACGACCUGGAGGUGUCGGCGGAGACCACUACACAGCUGCACCAGGAGCAGCCUAAGUUGGAAACAAACUUCCGCUUCUUCCAAGAGAUGCAGUCAUAUGCUGCUGAUCUCAUUGAAUGCCUUGAUGCCAAGAUACCCGUGAUCCUGGCCUUGGAGGGGCGUAUGAUGUCUCUGCUUUCUCAGCGCAGUGAGAAGCUUGUGCAGCGUAGGCACCAGGACAUCAAAGACCAGGCCGAAGAAUGCAAUAUCGCAGUGAAGGCGAUGCGAGGCCAGCCCGUAGAGGCUAAUAAUCGAGGCAGCCAGCAACGAAGUUGGCGGGCAGCUGAACGAGAAG